This 72-nucleotide transfer RNA is filed under the name Bos taurus (domestic cattle). It matches the Rfam family "tRNA". From Rfam's summary of the family: Transfer RNA (tRNA) molecules are approximately 80 nucleotides in length. The record is from Rfam by way of RNAcentral. Lineage: Eukaryota; Metazoa; Chordata; Mammalia; Artiodactyla; Bovidae. RNAcentral also lists the same sequence under 4 other names.
UCCUUGGUGGCUCAGAUGGUAAAGAAUCUGCCUGCAAUGCAGGGGACCCAGGUUUGAUCCCUGGGUUGGGAA